CGGAGAUCGUCCCGUGCCGUCCGCCCGAGGCAGUGCCGUACUCCUCGUGAGCACGGACCAGCGGCGGUUGGACCGGAGCCACAAGGCGACAGCGGAAGGUGAGUCGACGCGGGCCUGUCCUGNNNNNNNAGCUUACAGCCCUGCCGUACGGCGCUCCGGCCCGACCGAGGAAGAUGGGCAGCCCUUGCCCGNNNNGGUACACGCCGAAUGGCGGGGCCUCCCGACACGAGUGAACCGUGCGACGUGGACUGCAUGCAGUGCAAGCCGUGGCGGCGAUCUCGUGGCGGUGAGUGCCACUUGUGUGCCAGUGCCGCU
This 315-nucleotide ribosomal RNA is filed under the name Spongia officinalis (commercial sponge). RNAcentral describes it as "partial large subunit ribosomal RNA". The record is from RNAcentral. Lineage: Eukaryota; Metazoa; Porifera; Demospongiae; Dictyoceratida; Spongiidae.